AUACGGGGGGGGCAAGCGUUGUUCGGAAUUACUGGGCGUAAAGGGCGCGCAGGCGGGCGGGAAAGUCUCUCGUGAAAGCCCACGGCUCAACCGUGGAAUUGCGGGAGAUACUACUCGUCUUGAGUCCGGGAGAGGAGUGUGGAAUUCCCAGUGUAGCGGUGAAAUGCGUAGAUAUUGGGAGGAACACCGGUGGCGAAGGCGGCACUCUGGACCGGUACUGACGCUGAGGCGCGAAAGCUAGGGGAGCAAACGGGAUUAGAAACCCCAGUAGUCC
RNAcentral lists this ribosomal RNA (274 nucleotides) under uncultured bacterium. RNAcentral's name for it is "partial 16S ribosomal RNA". It matches the Rfam family "Bacterial small subunit ribosomal RNA", at positions 523 to 796 of the family's 1533-position model. The record is from RNAcentral.